CAGGCGGCGGGCGGCGCUAUCGACCCCGACGUGUUCAAGAUCCUGGUGGACCUGCUGAAGCUGAACGUGGCCCCCCUCGCCGUCUUCCAGAUGCUCAAGUCCAUGUGUGCCGGGCAGAGGCUAGCGAGCGAGCCCCAGGACCCUGCGGCCGUGUCUCUGCCCACGUCGAGCGUGCCCGAGACCCGAGGCUUGAGUGACAACUUGAGGACAAGGCGGCGCCUCGACAAGAUUUCACACAGCAGCUACGGGGGCCAGAGAAGCAGCACCGCAUGGUGUGGCAGGAGAAGGAGGACAUGCACAAGCAAUUGGUUGAAGCUUCAGAGACAUUGAAAUCCCAAGCCAAAGAACUGAAAGAUGCCCAUCAGCAGCAAAAGCUGGCCCUGCAGGAGUUCUUGGAGCUCAAUGAGCUCAUGGCAGAGCUCUACUCCCAGAAGCAGAAGGUGUGGGACAAGGAGGAGGAGAUGGAAGUAGCCAUGCAGAAAGCUGACAUGAUGUGGCAGGAGAUCUGAAGAUCCAAGAAGCUCAGAAAGAGGAUGCUGGAAGCUCAGCUCAAGGACACUGUUGCUGAGGCCUCAAAGGAGUGCAGACGUCGUGAGCACGUCACGGACUUCAAGCAACAGACCAGCUGAGCUAGUGAGCAAGAAACACAAGCACUGAAGCUGGAAGCGUCCCCAUCAAUUUCUGUGGCUGCCAGCACAGAACCGCAGGAAGUAACACAGCAUUGUCCUACUGAUGCUCUCAUACGUAGUUACAUGAUGUGAUUGUAGCUUUUUAAACUAUGAAACCCCUGAG
This 792-nucleotide long non-coding RNA is filed under the name Homo sapiens (human). Its description in RNAcentral is "HSALNT0039750". Lineage: Eukaryota; Metazoa; Chordata; Mammalia; Primates; Hominidae. The record is from RNAcentral.